UUUUGGAGACCAAACUGAAACAACAAGGCAAGUGGUCCUGCUGGAGUUGACUGUUCCCUGGGAAGACCGGAUGGAGGAGGCCUUUGAGAGGAAGAGGGCCAAGUACGAGGAGUUGGCAAGCGAAUGCCGAAGC
Thalassophryne amazonica is the source of this 133-nucleotide long non-coding RNA. RefSeq lists it as uncharacterized. Lineage: Eukaryota; Metazoa; Chordata; Actinopteri; Batrachoidiformes; Batrachoididae. The record is from RefSeq and is a predicted model, not a curated record. The transcript is spliced from 3 exons.